This 497-nucleotide ribosomal RNA is filed under the name uncultured bacterium. RNAcentral describes it as "partial 16S ribosomal RNA". It matches the Rfam family "Bacterial small subunit ribosomal RNA", at positions 28 to 507 of the family's 1533-position model. The record is from RNAcentral.
GAUGAACGCUGGCGGCGUGCCUAAUACAUGCAAGUCGAGCGAACAGAUGAGGAGCUUGCUCCUCUGACGUUAGCGGCGGACGGGUGAGUAACACGUGGAUAACCUACCUAUAAGACUGGGAUAACUUCGGGAAACCGGAGCUAAUACCGGAUAAUAUAUUGAACCGCAUGGUUCAAUAGUGAAAGACGGUUUUGCUGUCACUUAUAGAUGGAUCCGCGCCGCAUUAGCUAGUUGGUAAGGUAACGGCUUACCAAGGCAACGAUGCGUAGCCGACCUGAGAGGGUGAUCGGCCACACUGGAACUGAGACACGGUCCAUACUCCUAAGGGAGGCAGCAGUAGGGAAUCUUCCGCAAUGGGCGAAAGCCUGACGGAGCAACGCCGCGUGAGUGAUGAAGGUCUUCGGAUCGUAAAACUCUGUUAUUAGGGAAGAACAAAUGUGUAAGUAACUAUGCACGUCUUGACGGUACCUAAUCAGAAAGCCACGGCUAACUACGUG